GCCAAGGCCUUUCAAAGGCUUGGCCAUACGGGCGCCGGCGGGUGUCCGGCGCUCUCGGAUCCAUGUUGCUCAUUGGAGGAUGUGGUUAUGAGAA
This 94-nucleotide small RNA is filed under the name Microvirga sp. BSC39. RNAcentral's name for it is "Repression of heat shock gene expression (ROSE) element". It matches the Rfam family "Repression of heat shock gene expression (ROSE) element". Rfam says of the family: This family represents a 5' UTR cis-regulatory element found in heat shock mRNAs and is known as the ROSE (repression of heat shock gene expression) element. The ROSE element is a negative regulator of heat shock gene expression. The secondary structure is thought to be regulated by temperature. The record is from Rfam by way of RNAcentral. Lineage: Bacteria; Pseudomonadati; Pseudomonadota; Alphaproteobacteria; Hyphomicrobiales; Methylobacteriaceae.